CCUACGGGAGGCAGCAGUGGGGAAUAUUGGACAAUGGAGGAAACCCUGACCCAGCGACGCCGCGUGAGUGAAGAAGUAUUUCGGUAUGUAAAGCUCUAUCAGCAGGGAAGAAAAAGGUGACGGUACCUGCAGAAGAAGCCUCGGCUAACUACGUGCCAGCAGCCGCGGUAAUACGUAGGCGGCAAUCGUUAUCCGGAAUUACUGGGGGUAAGGGUUGCGUAGGCGGUUAGUCAAGUUAGUAGGGAAAGUCCGGGGCUCAACCCCGGAACUGCUAGGGAAACUGUUGAACUUGAGUGCAGGAGAGGUAAGUGGAAUUCCUGGUGUAGCGGUGAAAUGCGUAGAUAUUAGGAGGAACACCAGUGGCGAAGGCGGCUCACUGGACUGUAACUGACGCUGAGGCACGAAAGCGUGGGGAGCAAACAGGAUUAGAUACCCGGGUAGUC
RNAcentral lists this ribosomal RNA (443 nucleotides) under uncultured bacterium. RNAcentral's name for it is "partial 16S ribosomal RNA". It matches the Rfam family "Bacterial small subunit ribosomal RNA", at positions 338 to 795 of the family's 1533-position model. The record is from RNAcentral.